UGCGCCUUGCCACGCCCGCUCAGAAACUACAAAGGAAUUGGACGGGGGCCCGCACAAGCGGAGGAGCAUGUGGUUUAAUUCGAUGAUACGCGAGGAACCCUUACCGUGGGCUUAAAUGACUUAAUGACGUACUGGGAAACUGGUAUUUCUUCGGACAUUUUGCAAGGUGCUGCAUGGUUGUCGUCAGCUCGUGCCGUGAGGUGUCGGGUUAAGUCCCAUAACGAGCGCAACCCCUAUUGUUAGUUGCCAUCAGGUCAUGCUGGGGACUCUAACAAAACUGCCCGCGUAAGCGUGGAGGAAGGUGGGGAUGACGUCAAAUCAGCACGGCCCUUACGUCCAGGGCUACACACGUGCUACAAUGGCCGGUACAGAGGGCAGCCACUUGGUGACAAGGAGCAAAUCUCAAAAGCCGGUCUCAGUUCGGAUCGGAGUCUGCAACUCGACUCCGUGAAGUUGGAUUCGCUAGUAAUCGUAGAUCAGCAAUGCUACGGUGAAUACGUUCCCGGGCCUU
This 511-nucleotide ribosomal RNA is filed under the name uncultured Bacteroidota bacterium. RNAcentral's name for it is "bacterial SSU rRNA". It matches the Rfam family "Bacterial small subunit ribosomal RNA", at positions 903 to 1382 of the family's 1533-position model. The record is from RNAcentral. Lineage: Bacteria; Pseudomonadati; Bacteroidota.